This 798-nucleotide ribosomal RNA is filed under the name uncultured Bacillota bacterium. Its description in RNAcentral is "bacterial SSU rRNA". It matches the Rfam family "Bacterial small subunit ribosomal RNA", at positions 71 to 902 of the family's 1533-position model. The record is from RNAcentral. Lineage: Bacteria; Bacillati; Bacillota.
AAAGUGGAGCAAUCCAUGAGUGAAGUGGCGUACGGGUGAGUAACACGUGGGUGAUCUACCUCUUAGUGAGGAAUAACCCUGGGAAACCGGGGCUAAUACCGCAUAAGCCUUAGCAGGGAAAGUCGAAAGACGCUGAGAGAGGAGCCCGCGGCCGAUUAGCUAGUUGGUGAGGUAAGAGCCCACCAAGGCAGAGAUCGGUAGCCGGCCUGAGAGGGCACACGGCCACACUGGCACUGAAACACGGGCCAGACUCCUACGGGAGGCAGCAGAGGGGAAUCUUGCACAAUGGGGGAAACCCUGAUGCAGCGACGCCGCGUGAGCGAUGAAGCCCUUCGGGGUGUAAAGCUCUUUCGUCAGGGAAGAUAGUGACGGUACCUGGAGAAGCAGCUGCGGCUAACUACGUGCCAGCAGCCGCGGUAAUACGUAGGCAGCAAGCGUUGUUCGGAGUUACUGGGCGUAAAGGGUGUGUAGGCGGUUCUUUAAGUUUGGUGUGAAAUCUCCCGGCUCAACCGGGAGGGUGCGCCGAAUACUGAGGGACUAGAGUGUGGGAGAGGAAAGUGGAAUUCCUGGUGUAGCGGUGAAAUGCGUAGAUAUCAGGAGGAACACCGGUGGUGUAGACGGCUUUCUGGACCAUAACUGACGCUGAGACACGAAAGCGUGGGUAGCAAACAGGAUUAGAUACCCUGGUAGUCCACGCCCUAAACGAUGCAUAUUUGGUGUGGGUCAUUCAGUUGAUCCGUGCCGGAGCUAACGCGUUAAAUAUGCCGCCUGGGGAGUACAGUCGCAAGGCUGAAACUC